Molecule: long non-coding RNA, 214 nt
Filed under: Lathyrus oleraceus (garden pea)
Lineage: Eukaryota; Viridiplantae; Streptophyta; Magnoliopsida; Fabales; Fabaceae
Description: Pisum sativum (pea) long non-coding RNA (PSAT_LNC013076)
Source: RNAcentral
AAAAAAUGCGAUUAUUUAAAAAAAAAAUCGGAUUUCAAACCCCAUAAAAUAAUUGAUUCUAAAAUUACUUAUACUAUGUUUCAUCGUUCCUUCCACUGCAUUUGUGUGUUUCCUCGUUUCUUCCACUAACUGAAACAACAUUCAUAACCCAUAUCCAUUCUUACUUUCUUAGGCAAUUGAGUUAUGCAUGCCUUAAGACCAACAUACUGCAAAA